Molecule: long non-coding RNA, 1040 nt
Organism: Pleuronectes platessa (European plaice)
Lineage: Eukaryota; Metazoa; Chordata; Actinopteri; Pleuronectiformes; Pleuronectidae
Exons: 2
Source: RefSeq, a predicted model, not a curated record
AAAAGAAAUGUUGUGGUUAGUGAAGCAGAACGUACUGUUCACUAGUUCAGGUGCAACAUCCGUACAGGAAGUGUGGCCCUGCUGUGAGCAGGUGAGUGGGCAGCCUGUCAUCAUCACACAGGUAGCCAAGUUAAGGAGUGGCCCCGGCUGCUGGCGUCACAGCUCGUAAGUGAAUAAUCCCUGCAGGUAUGUCCGUUCAGUCCACAGCCCACGUACGACAAGGCGUGGGAGGUGGGAGGAGUCAACCUACUCACUGUAGGAAUUAUGGGGGAGGAUAAAGCCUUGAGUGUCACACCGGAAAGUCAUAAAAGGAGUUUUACCAGCUACACGGAUGCUCUGAAUUCUGGGUAUUUCCACUAUGGCCUGUCUUGUAGCAGUUAAACUUGCUGGAAAUGACCUAACUACUGCCAGGAAGAGGAAUGUGAAGCAUUCCCUGGAGCCGUUUGUGACGUCAGAGCGCAGAGGAGGCCCCUGUGCUUCCGCCAGCCUGGAUAUUCCAGAGUACACUCAACCCCAAACUCCCAACAGCUGGAGUCAACUGUUGCUGCCUCGCUCCAACUCCAAAACAAUCCCCAAAGACACACACAUGACCCCCCCCUGUGAGCCCCUCCGCUCCUUGUGUGAGGGACUGCUCUUCACAUCUGGGCUCUUGCUGUUCUCUCUAGUGUGAGCUGAGAAACUUAUGUUGAUACUUAAAGCCCCCCAAAUAAUUACAACUUUUGAAUUAUUUUUCAAUAUUCAAUGAACAUGUUAAUCUGCAGUCCUCCAGCAUGUCUACUAAGCAUUAUUCUGUGUGAUUUAGCAAACAGUGAGUCAGUCUUUUAUUGUGUAACAUGAUUUGUAACAGUGUUUUUUUUGUGUAGUUUUUGAUCAAGUGCCCAUAGAUGAUUAAGUUUAAAAUAGAAAAAUGACUGACAUUUAAAAAAGAUAUGCAACUCUAUCCAUCAGCCUGUGGUACUUUAGAGAUACAGAUAUAACAUGUAACUUGAAACUUCCAAUUACAGUUGAAUCAACAGAGAACAAAUAACAAUGAACCCUGA